UGGGGAAUAUUGCACAAUGGGCGAAAGCCUGAUGCAGCAACGCCGCGUGAGUGAUGAAGGUCUUCGGAUUGUAAAGCUCUGUCUUUUGGGACGAUAAUGACGGUACCAAAGGAGGAAGCCACGGCUAACUACGUGCCAGCAGCCGCGGUAAUACGUAGGUGGCGAGCGUUGUCCGGAUUUACUGGGCGUAAAGGGUGCGUAGGCGGAUGUUUAAGUGAGAUGUGAAAUACCCGGGCUUAACUUGGGUGCUGCAUUUCAAACUGGAUAUCUAGAGUGCAGGAGAGGAGAAUGGAAUUCCUAGUGUAGCGGUGAAAUGCGUAGAGAUUAGGAAGAACACCAGUGGCGAAGGCGAUUCUCUGGACUGUAACUGACGCUGAGGCACGAAAGCGUGGGUAGCAAACAGGAUUAGAUACCCUGGUAGUCCACGCCGUAAACGAUGAGUACUAGGUGUAGGAGGUAUCGACCCCUUCUGUGCCGCAGUAAACACAUUAAGUACUCCGCCUGGGAAGUACGAUCGCAAGAUUAAAACUCUAAAGUGAAUUGACGGGGUCA
Molecule: ribosomal RNA, 552 nt
Filed under: uncultured bacterium
Lineage: Bacteria
Description: partial 16S ribosomal RNA
Rfam family: Bacterial small subunit ribosomal RNA
Source: RNAcentral